GACGGAGGAUGCAAGUGUUAUCCGGAAUCACUGGGCGUAAAGCGUCUGUAGGUGGUUCGAAAAGUCCACUGUUAAAAAUUGAGGCUUAACUUCAAAGAUGCCGUGGAAACUUUCAAACUAGAGUAUGGUAGGGGUAGAGGGAAUUUCCAGUGGAGCGGUGAAAUGCGUAGAUAUUGGAAAGACCACCGAUGGCGAAGGCACUCUACUGGGCCACUACUGACCACUGAGAGACGAAAGCUAGGGGAGCAAAUGGG
RNAcentral lists this ribosomal RNA (254 nucleotides) under uncultured bacterium. Its description in RNAcentral is "partial 16S ribosomal RNA". It matches the Rfam family "Bacterial small subunit ribosomal RNA", at positions 524 to 776 of the family's 1533-position model. The record is from RNAcentral.